CCUACGGGAGGCAGCAGUGGGGAAUAUUGCACAAUGGGGGAAACCCUGAUGCAGCGACGUCGCGUGAGUGAUGAAGUAUUUCGGUAUGUAAAGCUCUAGCAGCAGGGAAGAAAAUGACGGUACCUGACUAAGAAGCCCCGGCUAACUACGUGCCAGCAGCCGCGGUAAGACGUAGGGGGCAAGCGUUAUCCGGAUUUACUGGGUGUAAAGGGAGCGUAGACGGCGGUGCAAGCCAGAUGUGAAAGCCCGGGGCUCAACCCCGGGACUGCAUUUUGAACUGUGCUGCUAGAGUGUCGGAGAGGCAGGCGGAAUUCCUAGUGUAGCGGUGAAAUGCGGAGAUAGUAGGAGGAACACCAGUGGCGAAGGCGGCCUACUGGACUGUAACUGACGUUGAGGCUCGAAAGCGUGGGGAGCAAACAGGAGUAGAUACCCCUGUAGUC
Molecule: ribosomal RNA, 440 nt
Filed under: uncultured bacterium
Lineage: Bacteria
Description: partial 16S ribosomal RNA
Rfam family: Bacterial small subunit ribosomal RNA
Source: RNAcentral